This 468-nucleotide ribosomal RNA is filed under the name uncultured bacterium. RNAcentral describes it as "partial 16S ribosomal RNA". It matches the Rfam family "Bacterial small subunit ribosomal RNA", at positions 28 to 507 of the family's 1533-position model. The record is from RNAcentral.
GACGAACGCUGGCGGCGUGCUUAACACAUGCAAGUCGAACGGAAAGGCCCUGCUUUUGUGGGGUGCUCGAGUGGCGAACGGGUGAGUAACACGUGAGUAACCUGCCCUUGACUUUGGGAUAACUUCAGGAAACUGGGGCUAAUACCGGAUAGGAGCUCCUGCUGCAUGGUGGGGGUUGGAAAGUUUCGGCGGUUGGGGAUGGACUCGCGGCUUAUCAGCUUGUUGGUGGGGUAGUGGCUUACCAAGGCUUUGACGGGUAGCCGGCCUGAGAGGGUGACCGGCCACAUUGGGACUGAGAUACGGCCCAGACUCCUACGGGAGGCAGCAGUGGGGUAUAUUGCACAAUGGGCGGAAGCCUGAUGCAGCAACGCCGCGUGCGGGAUGACGGCCUUCGGGUUGUAACCCGCUUUCGCCUGUGACGAAGCGUGAGUGACGGUAAUGGGUAAAGAAGCACCGGCUAACUACGUG